GGGCACAUGGUCUAGGGGUAUGAUUUUCGCUUCGCAUAUCCUGACACAACGUCGGUGACAUCGUGUGAAAGGUCGUGGGUUCAAUUCCCACUGUGUCCA
Molecule: non-coding RNA, 99 nt
Organism: Teratosphaeria nubilosa
Lineage: Eukaryota; Fungi; Ascomycota; Dothideomycetes; Mycosphaerellales; Teratosphaeriaceae
Source: the annotation of a GenBank genome assembly